RNA transcript from Ctenopharyngodon idella (grass carp), 9595 nucleotides. RefSeq lists it as uncharacterized. NCBI's taxonomy places the organism in Eukaryota, Metazoa, Chordata, Actinopteri, Cypriniformes, Xenocyprididae. The record is from RefSeq and is a predicted model, not a curated record. The transcript is spliced from 25 exons.
UGAAAGUGGCGCUGAAAGACCAGUAGAAUUCUGUUCUGUAUCCUACAUGUAGAUAUUCACACAAACGAAACGGAUGUUUUAUGGCAAAUUCUUUCGGUCAGACAGCUAACUUUAGUGAUUUUUUUUUCAAUCCGUUCGAACGAAUCAUAACAAUAAUCUUUUGAACAAAAGAUCCGGUUCGAAAGAACAACUCGAUCGCAAUUCGGAGCAUCAAAGACUGAAACAGCACGUUUCAGGUUUUCAAGACUUGCAGUUUUUGAGCUAUUGAACAAAAACAAUGGAGCGGCGGCAUGCUCAGUUUGUAAACAAUCGCAGAGCAGAUCUUGUCCAGAGGGUUAUUGCUGUGAUGGACAUUGCUGAUGCACUGAAAUCUGCUGAAAUAAUUCAGCCUGAAACAUACUCAAAUAUUUAUGCAGCCUCUACAAGAAUGGAAAAAAUGAGAGAGCUCCUUGAUGCUCUGAACACUGACCAAGCAAAAUCUGCUUUUUACAGUUUGCUUAAAGAUAAGGAGUCAUCCCUGGUUGUAGAUCUUGAACAACAAGGAGUUAAACAAGGGAUUAAAGGGGCACAGACCUCAUCAGAAGUACUGGAAAAUAAAUCUCGCCCUCAAAAUGCAGAAACAUUACAAGUGCAAACUAUCGAACAAAAGACUGAGGAAAAACAAAUCAUGUGGAACAAAUCCUCCAAAACACAUAGUACAAAAAUAGAGGAGCUGUUAAAAAAAACUGACAUCAAAAAAGUAGGGAAUCUCUACUUUUAUAAAGAUGAAAAGUACGUGAUUGGCUCUGGAGGAAGCAGCUCACAAGUAUAUAUUGGCUUGAGUGAAGAUGGCACUGAGGUGGCCAUUAAACGAAUAAUGAAGAACCCGAAGAACAACAAAGACUUUGACAAUGAACUGAAGUGUCUACAAGAUUUAAAGCUUGAGAGCAAGUAUAUCGUCAGGUAUGUGACCUUUGUAGCGGAUGAGGAUUUUUACUAUCUUGCAAACCAGCUUUGUGAGUACGAUCUGGAGGACUACAUGAAAGAGCUUCGUCAGCAAGAACGAAAUGACAAAGAGAACAUUUUGAGGAAAAUAGUGAAGGAGAUGCUUCUUGGCCUUCAAGUUCUUCACCGUGCUGAAGUGAUACACCGUGAUAUAAAGCCUAGAAAUGUUUUGAUAGAUACAGAAGGAAAGGCAAGGCUGGCUGACUUUGGUAUAAGUCGCAAACUGGAGGAGGGAAAAACCACAGUGUAUACUGACAGAGCUGGAACACAAGGCUGGGAGGCAACGGAGAUCCUGAAUCAGACUGAUUCAAAGGGUCGUUACAAAAUGAGCUCAGACAUCCAGGUUGCUGGGAUGUUGGUGUACUACAUCCUCUCUGAUGGAAAACAUCCUUUUGGGGACAUGGAUCGUGAGGGGAACAUCAAGAUUGGGAAGUACACUCUCGAACAUGUACAAGAUAUAGUAGCCAAGGAUCUCAUUGAAUGGAUGAUCAACAAAGAACCAGCAGAGAGAUUGACCAUUGAUGAGGUCCUACGACACCCUUAUUUCUGGGAUGAUUCCAGAAAAAAUGAAGUUGUUAAGAAGCUAGGUGAUCAACACGAAGUCCAGUACUAUACUGAUAUUUCAGAAGCUUGCAAAAUUAAGAAAGAUGAAGAAGGUCUAACAGCAAAAGAGGCAGUUGAACGACUCUUCAAUAACAAAAAGGACAAGAACAGGAAAGCUAAACUCCUUGAGAUGCUAGGCGAAACAGAGGAAGUCCAGGAAAACAAAAUGGAAUAUCUUUGUAAGCUUUGCGACUGUGCAGAGAAAUACACACAAAAAAAAUCUUUUGAAAAUUGGCAAUCAAAGCUUAAGGUUCGAUGGCCAGGCAUUAACAUCGACAAAGCUACUCCGGAGGACUUAGUUGGCGUGCUCCGUUUUAUUCGCAACAACAUGACACACGCUUUGAACUUUGAUCCAGAGAUCCUCAACCUAUUUUCCAGAUUUCUUCACCAGCUUACACAGAUUGGCUAAAGAUAUGAGCUGGGACUGUACCUGGUCUUAAGAUGAGCAAGGAGAACAUCAGCUCCUUGUUGCGAGUGGGAGAUGAGAGAGCCUCAAACAUGGGGACUAGAAUUUUUAGGUUCUAGCAUGUCCAUGGAGGGGUGAAGAGACACAUGUAACCCAUCAGGGAAGCAUGUGUCACCACUCUCAUUCUCUUUUAGCAUAUGUAUUCCGAGAGUUUCAUUCUAUUAUUCUGUUUUUAAUAUGUUGUAUUAUUCUCUUUUACAGCUUUGCAUGUAAUUAUAUAAUACUUUGUAUCAUUCUGUUCUUUGUAAGGGUAUUUAGGAUACCAUGUGUGGGUACUGGAUUCUGAAAGGGGUGGAUUCUGGAAUCCACUGGCGGUUCAUUAUAUAUCUUUUAUAAUCAAGUUAUUAAUCAACAUUUAUUCUUCUAAAUAUUACAUUAUUUGAAUGACUUCUUCAAUGUAUAUUAAAGCAUUUAUUUUACUUUUCCAUCUUCAUUCACUAGAGUGUCUGUACCUCUUACUGUGAGUGUUGAGAACAUGUUAUCAGUAUGUUUUGGGGAAGUAUUCUGUUCAGCCAACUUCAACCUUGAAGAAGCUAUGUAUCUGUGUGUGCACUAGUAUUUUUUUGUUACAGACAAACUAUAGAGGACGAGAAAUGACUUAAGUAUAAAUAAAUGAAUAAAUACGUAAAUGAAAAAAUAAAUAAAUAAAUGUGGAAAUACAUAAAUAAAUGAAUAAAUAAAUAUAGAAAUAAAAAAAUAACUGGGGGGUAGCUAUGAGAAGGUUUCGAAAAGUUACAAUAAUUAGAACACUUAUCCAGUCCUAUCCCAAAAGCGUUUGGCUGCUCCAGCUCACUCCAAUCCUGCAACCAAAUCCUCCACAUCCCUUAACAUCGGGACCAUCAUAGCCACUCCAGAGUUCACUACAGCCCCAGAGUCCAUACCAGAGCCUCUUAGCAAGAUGGCCGCCAUCCCAAAGCCGCGUCGCAAGAUGGCCGCCGCCACACCUGAGCCUCUUCGCAAGAUGGCCGCCGCCACGCAUGAGCCCUCACCAGAAUCUGCGGAGGACCAAUGGCUGAUUGACUUCUGAUGCUCGAUUUGUGGACGAUCGCAGUGAAGUUCCCAUUCAGAAGGUUAAUUCCUUGUUGCAAAUUUUUGAUGCACUGAAGUCAGUUGGAAUAAUUAACCAUGACACAUACUCAAAGAUUCAGGUAGCCACUAAAAAUAAGGAUAAAAUGAGAGCGUUCCUUGAUUCUCUGAGCACUGAGCCAUCCCUGGUUGAAGAUCUUGAACAAGGUCGGCAAGGGAUUCCAGGGUCUUCGGCACAGACCUCAUCAGAAGUACUGGAAAUUGAACCUCGCCCUAAAUAUGCAGAAACAUUACAAGUGCAAACUAUCAAACAAAAGAUUGAGGAGAAAAAAAAUCAGGUGGAACAAAUCCUCCAAAAGACAUAGUACAAAAGUAGAGGAGCUGUCAAAAAAGUCUGACCUCGAAAAAGUAGGGAAUCUCUACUUUUAUAAAGAUGAGAAGUACGUGAUUGGCUCUGGAGGAAGCGGCACAGUAUAUAUUGGCUUGAGUGAAGAUGGCACUGAGGUGGCCAUUAAACGAAUAAUAAAGAACCCGAAGAACAACAAAGACUUUGACAAUGAACUGAAGUGUCUACAAGAUUUAAAGCUUGAGAGCAAGUAUAUCGUCAGGUAUGUGACCUUUGUAGUGGAUGAAGAUUUUUACUAUCUUGCAAACCAGCUUUGUGAGUACGAUCUGGAGGACUACAUGAAAGAGCUUCGUCAGCAAGAACGAAAUGACAAAGAGAACAUUUUGAGGAAAAUAGUGAAGGAGAUGCUUCUUGGCCUUCAAGUUCUUCACCGUGCUGGAGUGAUACACCGUGAUAUAAAGCCUAGAAAUGUUUUGAUAGAUACAGAAGGAAAGGCAAGGCUGGCCGACUUUGGUAUAAGUCGCAAACUGGAGGAGGGAAAAACCACAGUGUAUACUGACAGAGCUGGAACACAAGGCUGGGAGGCAACGGAGAUCCUGAAUCAGACUGACAAGAGUGGUUACAAAAAGUGCUCAGACAUCCAGGUUGCAGGGAUGUUAACCUAUUACAUCCUCUCUGAUGGGAAACAUCCUUUUGGAGAUGCCAUUGUCCGUGAGAUGAACAUUUUAAGCGGAAAAUAUUCUCUUAACGAUGUCCAAGACAAAAAAAGCAAUGGAUCUCGUAGAAUGGAUGAUCAACAAAGACCAAGAUAAGAGACCAACCGUUGACAAGGUCUUAGAUCACCCUUAUUUCUGGGAUGAUAAAAGGAUAAGGGAGGUCCUUCACAAUCUGGGUAAUAAAGAGGAAGUCCAGGAAUACAAGAACUAUGAAAGCAAUAAAGAGCUUUACGACACUGUACAGAAAUACACAAAGGGAAAAUCCUUUUCUGGUUGGAAGUCAAACGUGAGUAAAGACUUCUUCACCAAAUGUAAGAGAUGUGUUUUCCCCACCUUGCCAAACUGUUUGGUUCAGUUAAGGGUGUGUUUGGACUAUUAACAGCACAACAAUUCUAGCGACUUCAAAUUGGGUUGUAGCUUUGUUCUGAUUGGACAGAGGCAAAAAACAAUGCCAAAUAGGACAAUGUAACUAACUCAGGAUAGCAAAAUAAACAACAGGCUUAUAAACGUUCAAAGGGAGAGGAAACGUUUUCCAUUUCUUUUGUUGUUUGUCUUGCAAAUUCAUUAAUCAUUCAUUAAUUAUGCCAUCAUAAAUCAUUCAACAAACCAGACUGAAUUCAUACAUGCAUGAAACAGAAGUUUCGAUAGUCAUUUCUUUCUCAUUGUGACGUAUAUCAGAGUGAAAUGGCUUAUUGAACAAGAAUAAAUGUAGGGUGGGGCUUGAUUUUGUUCAUCAGGAUUUGAUUGGAUGGUUGUGGUUUUCUAUUGGUGGAUCUCAUGUGAGUGACAGGUUGCCCCGCCCUCGUGCCAGUAAACACAUCAUCAGAGAAGAGCUGCAAGAGGGAGGGGAAGUUAAUUAAAGGUUAUGAGGCACAUGAAUUAAAAAUAAUUUAUGUGCAUGGAUAAAUCAUUUUUAAUAAAUAUUCACUAUAACAUGGUAAAUUAUUAUAAAAACAGUGUUGUAUUUUAUGGUUGUUUGCUGUCAGUAUUUCCUGCUCUAAAAUUUCAUGGCAUAAGACUCCAGCUUUGUAUCUGCAGGCUCCUGAGACAUGGACAAAAAUUGGCCAAAGUCUUCCCAAUGACUUACUUGGCCUAUUACGGUAUUUACUGGGACAUCAGGAAAAACGCUUCUAUGCAGAGAAGAUGAUUGAUGAGUUCCCAGAUUUCCUCAUCAGUUUACACCGGUUGGCUACUGACAUGGGCUGGGAAUACUGAAGAGGCAGAGAAAUUGGAUGUUGGACACCUAUAGCCCACUGCGUGAUUUUUUUUUUUUGUUUUGUUUCACAAAACAGUUCAGCAGAAAUCCCACCCUGGAGCCGAUUCUAAAGAUUUAAUUGGCCAUGUCAAUCACAGUGACGAUUGCCUACACCAAACACUGAUCCCUAAACCUGUAUCCCUAAACGGGUGUCACUGUAACCUCAGCCAAUGAAAUUGGUUGCAGGGCGGGAUUUCCGCUGAACUAGUUUGGGGGGAAAAAUCACACAUAGCCACUGCUUUGCAUUCAAUGUUGAAUAAUGUUGUUGUUAUGCAUCCCCAAUGCCCAGUUCUAAACUCCACAAUACUGGUUUCAACUCAAGACUGUUGGCGGUGGUUUUAAGGCCUGCACCUCUUUGCUAUCAUGUUUUUGACUUAUAUUCAAUAUUGACAUUUUUGACUUGCUGUUUACAUGCAUCAAAUCAGCAAUGUAAUGAUUUUAACAUAUGCUUUGCUUCUUUUCCCAUGUGAAUUUUUUGUAAUUUGAUGCAGGCAAUAUAAUAGAGUACCUCAGGGAUGACGUGUUUUUGUAGGCAAAACCCGGAAGCGAGUUAGCAUUUUAGCACUUAGGUUCCAUCGCCCUAAAGUCUAUGGGUUUUUUGAAUGGGUUUUUGCUAAAUCGCGUGAAAUAAGGUCUGUGGUUAACAAAGCCUCUAAAUAUUUUCACAUUUUGAUCUAUGACAUAAAACACACCAGUUAUAACCCGCUUGUGAUUUUUAUAAACCUUUAUUGUGUCUUAAAAAUGGCGGUUGCUAACAAAUUGCUAAAAGGGACUACUUCCUUUGGCGGGGACUUUAGACGUCAUCAUGACAAACAGGACAUUUGGACAGUAUUUGUCAUGAAAAAGUGGAUAAGUAUUCAUACACAGCACAGAUCAUAAUCAGCGAGCAUGUUUUUAAAUAAAGUUGUUUUUUAAAUAAAGUUUGAGGAAGCUCGGUGGUGGUGACGUUGAUCCGCGACCAUGGUGUGCUGUAGUCCGUUUAUAGCCUACUGUUAGCUUUUUAUAUCUGAUGACUUCAUUUAGGCUUCAAAAUGUAUAAAUGCUGUGUUAACUUGUAAAGAUUAUCUUGAUAGACAAAACGUGUAAGUGUCAUAACCCUUUGUUAAACACAGAGCUUAUUUUUUGCGAUUUUCCAAAAGUCUAUGGGAAAAAUGCAUUGGCUUUCGAUCGAGGGAACCCGUGCGCCGCUAACUUCCAGGUUGGCCUACAAAAACACGUCAUCCCUGAGGUACUCUAUACUAAGUAGAGUUGUAAAUGUACAUACAUUUUUUAAAAAAUGAAAAUAUGCUGACCGUUAAAAUGCGUCAUCACGGUCUGUGAAGAGGGUCUAUUGUGAAAUGUUUUGUAAAAGCAGGCAAUGAGUGUGUCUUCUGAAAAUAAUUACAAACACCUGUACUUACAAGUUUUUAAAUUUUGUUUUUGUAAAAUUCUUAUAAUAGUGCGGUUGUUUUUCAUAAAACUGAGGUUGAACCACUGGAGUCACAUGGAUUACUUUAAUGAUGUCUUUACUACCUUUAUGGGGCUUGAAAGCGGUAGUUGCGUGAACUGUCAAUGGAGGGACAGAAAGCUCUCAGAUUUCAUCAAAAAGAUCUUCAUUUAUGUUCCGAAGGUGAACGAAGGUAUACGGGUAAUUAAUGACAGUUUUAAUUUUUGGGUGAACUAUCACUUUAAAAGUUCCUUCUGAAACUUCCUUCAGAACUUCUGAAAGUUCGUUUCAGGAAGUAAUCAUCAAUAGCAACAGUAGGCUGCUUGAGCUCAAACAUAAAUAUUGCUAUAAUUUCCCACUACUAUAGAUGUACAUAUCUCAACUAUUGAGGGUCUAGGGGGGUCUCGUGUUGUUGUAUCUGAUUGGCUGCAUCGUUUUCCUCUUCCGCACUCUACGCAGCGUCAAUCUGUAUUCCGCCCUGUCUUCUGCAGGACAAAAAAAACGUGUUUUCUUAUAAACUACAGCUCAUUUAAAGUGGCUGAAGAAAAACAAUGGAACAUCAGCAUGCUGAGUUUGUCGACACACACUAUGAAGCUCUCAUCCAAAGAGUCACAUCGGCGAUAAACAUUGCUGAUAAGCUGCAUGAAAACAGAAAGCUUACCUGGAGAGUGUAUUCAAAGAUCACAAACGCAACUUCUAAAAUAACCCAAGUGAGAGAGCUCUUAAACGCUGUGAAAUCUGGAGGACCUGCAGUAAAAUCGGCUUUUUACGAAGUACUGCAAGAAAUCGAGCCUGGUGUCAUUCAAGAACUUGAAGGUUCAUCCUCACAGACGGCCUAUGACAAGCAGGUCACUGAGACUCACCAUCAAAAAGUAGAAACAGAAAAGGUGCAAGAUAAAACAGACAGACCUGAUGAUGAUGAGAUCAUCCGGUGCAACCCAUCCUCAAUAAAAUACAGAAGUAAAAUAGAAGAGCUCCAGAAAGAUCCCUCCAAGAAAAAAGUCAGUAACAUCUACUUUUCCAGAAGUAAUAAUUACAUUAUUGGCUCUGGAGGAAGCGGCACAGUAUAUCUUGGCCUGAAGAAAGAUGGCACUGAGGUGGCCAUUAAACGAAUAACCAAGGACCCACUGAACAGCAAAGACUUUGAAAAUGAACUGAAGCAUCUACGAGAUUUAAAGCUUGAGAGCAAGAACAUCGUCAGGUAUGUGGACUUAGCAGAGGAUGAAGAUUUUUAUUAUCUUGCACUACAGCUUUGUGAAUAUGAUAUGGAGGACUACAUGGAAAAUCUUCGUCUGCAGGAACAAAAGGUCAAAGACGACUCUUUGAGGAAAAUAGUGAAGGAGAUGCUUCUUGGCCUUCAAGUUCUUCACCGUGCUGGAGUGAUACAUCGUGACAUAAAGCCUAGAAAUGUUUUGAUAGAUUCUGGAAAAAAUGCAAGACUUGCUGACUUUGGCUUAAGUCGCAAACUGGAGGAGGGCAGAAGCACAGUUCAUACUGUUAGAGCUGGAACACAAGGCUGGGAGGCAACAGAGAUCCUGAAUCAGACUGAAAAGGGUCAUUACAAAAAGAGCUCAGACAUCCAGGUUGCUGGGAUGUUGGUGUACUACAUCCUCUCUGAUGGAAAACAUCCUUUUGGGGACAUGGAUCGUGAGGGGAACAUCAAGAUUGGGAAGUACACUCUCGAACAUGUACAAGAUAUAGUAGCCAAGGAUCUCAUUGAAUGGAUGAUCAACAAAGAACCAGCAGAGAGAUUGACCAUUGAUGAGGUCCUACGACACCCUUAUUUCUGGGAUGAUUCCAGCAAAGAUGCAGUCCUCAGGAAGCUGGGUGAUAGGCCUGAAAUCCAGAACUAUGAGACUUUAUCAAAACUUCGCAACCUCUACAUAGAAAAGGAGCACACAGAGGAAACAGACCCAAUAGCAACACUGACCAUCUAUGAGGCCUUCAAUCAACUUAAAAUCGAGAAUGAAAAGAAGAGAAAUGACAUCCUUGCUAUAGUGGGUGAGGAUUUAAAAAACCUUUGGAAGCUCUUCAACACCGCAAAAGAUGUCACAGAGGGAAAAUCCUUUUCGAAUUGGAAAUCAAAGCUUUCUGAAAUAUGGACAGACAUUAACAAAAAGCUUCCAGAGGACAUACUUGGCCUGCUGCGUGUUUUGCGCAACAAACUGGUGCAUGCAAAUGUCAGAAAUGAAUUUGAAGAGAGGAACAUUUUUGGUCUUUUCCCAGACUUCUUCAUCAGUUUACACAGAGUGGCUAAAGACUUAAACUGGAAUUAUUGAGGAAGCUGAGAGGAAAUUACGCCACAACAUGGCAAAAGCGGUUACAGUUUUCACAUUCAACAUAGAGAGCAGUCAUUCAAGCACUGUUCUCAAAAUUGUUACAUGACUUCAUUUCUAAUGGGUUGUUCCUGGGAUUUUGUAGUUCAGUGGAUAGAUUCACAGAUUAAAGUUAAAAAGAAAAGAAAAAAAGCUGUGAUUAUAUCUUCUCUUUUAAUUACAAAGGUUUCAGGGUCCACUCAAAUAUAAGGUUUUGUUUUAACAAACUAAAAAUGCAGCAGCAAGUUGGUGGAUGUAUAUUAGUAACAAAAACAUGUUUGUUUGAAUUGUGGUUUGUGGUUUCUCUGUAAUCGACCACUAAGUUCGACCAGUAAGUUAUUAUGAAAUCAAGAUUUAAUCAAAUCAGGGCUGUAAUAAUUUUUAUAUGAUUGGCAUCUUUCCAUUUUUUAUGUUUGUUUGGAAAAUGUUUGGAAUAAAUUUUUAAAUAUUUUUCUAAA